Molecule: long non-coding RNA, 1240 nt
Organism: Bombus impatiens (common eastern bumble bee)
Lineage: Eukaryota; Metazoa; Arthropoda; Insecta; Hymenoptera; Apidae
Exons: 2
Source: RefSeq, a predicted model, not a curated record
AUCCUAAGCCCUUAUCGCGUCCAUCCAUAAAAAAAGCUAAUAGCAUCAGAACAUGCACCCUUCGAAACCAUCCCAUCAAAUCAUUUCCCACUGCAAAUAAUAAUAAUGACAAAAAUCAAGAUGGUAAUUUCAGUCGUCAUUAAUAGGAAAUAUUUAUAACUAACAAUGAAAAAUAUAUACCCUGACAGCAAUGCACAGAACGAACCACGCUGUAACGUGGCCGUAAGCUAAGCUGUAACCUGCAAGGCUGUAAUCUGUAACGGUACUACAUACGCUACUAUGCUAUAUACAUAUCUAUAAAACCAGUUUGAGAUACUAGCGCUUCAACAGAUGGUGCAUCAAUUAAUAAUUUUAAUAUAUAAUAUACUAUUUCUUAAUCACAUGUAACACAGAAUAAUUCUUGUUCAUUAUUAUUUUAAACAAUGUAUUGGAAUUAUUGGAAGUUUCAUGUAACUUUAUAAAAUGUGAAAUUAUGUGACAAUAUUUCAUAAUUAAACUGUAGAUAUUUACGAACACGGCUAAAGAAAUAGGCUUUAAAUGGAGAUUCGUUUUUAUUAUUAAAAAUUAUAAUGAGUACUCUACUUUGGAUAUCUUAUAUAUUUUUGUAUAUUGUGCGUACUCUUUGUACCUUUAAAUUUUCCGUAAGUGUACAAAAAUCUGCAAAAACUCUGAUUAUUACCUAUAUUUUUACCAGUUCUGUCUAGGAAAAUAUUAAAUAGGCAGAAACAUAUUAUCAAUAGCACUUUAUUAUGUACCUAACAUUUUAUUAAAAAAUAAAUGCUUAAAACCUUAUAAAAAUUAAAUGUGAAAUACAGUUAAAUAUAGUAAAAAUCUAUCGAAACAGGAUUUUAAAGAUAACAUUAAAUGUAGAUUAUAAUCUAUAUUAUAGUGAUUGUAAGUUUUAUUUUAAUGUUAUAUCUUAUUUUAUUAGACAUUUUAUCUAUUACGUGUUCUAUAUACAUGUGUAAUAUGUUUGUAUGAUUAGGAGAAUGAUAUACUUUUGCAUUAAUAUUUCAUACAUUUCUUGGAUUACAUUUCAUAGUUGCAGAAUACAUAGGUUGUUCAAUUGGUGCAAAAAUGUCAUCUAUAUAAUACCACAAUGUAAAUUUUGAUUUGCUAUCAUGAAAAUUUGUACAGAUUAAAAACAAAGAAGUUCCAAUAUAAAAGAAUAUCUGAAGAAUAAGAUUUAACGUUCAUUGUAUGAAGUGUCUCAAUAAUAUUGUUAAUUUUUCCUGCAAAA